ACAGUGACUUAUCAUGCGCCCUUGUCGUGGGUCGGGAGCUCAGUAGGCUUCAUUCUCUGGAUGGAGCUGAAGCCAACAGCAUG
RNAcentral lists this non-coding RNA (83 nucleotides) under unclassified sequences. The record is from RNAcentral.